This 148-nucleotide signal recognition particle RNA is filed under the name Homo sapiens (human). RNAcentral's name for it is "Metazoan signal recognition particle RNA". It matches the Rfam family "Metazoan signal recognition particle RNA". Rfam says of the family: The signal recognition particle (SRP) is a universally conserved ribonucleoprotein. It is involved in the co-translational targeting of proteins to membranes. The eukaryotic SRP consists of a 300-nucleotide 7S RNA and six proteins: SRPs 72, 68, 54, 19, 14, and 9. Lineage: Eukaryota; Metazoa; Chordata; Mammalia; Primates; Hominidae. The record is from Rfam by way of RNAcentral.
GCCGGGCAUGGUGGUGCAUGCCUGUAAUCCCAGCUCCUCAGGAGGCUGAGGUAGGAGAAUCGCUUGAAUCCAGGAGGCAGAAGUUGCAGUGGGCUGAGAUUGUGCCACUGUACUCCAGCCUGGGUGACAGAGUGAGACUCUGUCUCAA